This 60-nucleotide transfer RNA is filed under the name Rattus norvegicus (Norway rat). It matches the Rfam family "tRNA", at positions 6 to 65 of the family's 71-position model. From Rfam's summary of the family: Transfer RNA (tRNA) molecules are approximately 80 nucleotides in length. Their secondary structure includes four short double-helical elements and three loops (D, anti-codon, and T loops). The record is from Rfam by way of RNAcentral. Lineage: Eukaryota; Metazoa; Chordata; Mammalia; Rodentia; Muridae.
UGUACCUUAGUUGUAGAGUGCUUGCCUGGCAUGCAGAAGGCCUGGGUUCAAUCCCCAGCA